Molecule: ribosomal RNA, 253 nt
Filed under: uncultured bacterium
Lineage: Bacteria
Description: partial 16S ribosomal RNA
Rfam family: Bacterial small subunit ribosomal RNA
Source: RNAcentral
GACAGAGGGUGCAAACGUUGUUCGGAAUUACUGGGCGUAAAGCGUGUGUAGGCAGUGAGGUAAGUCGGAUGUGAAAGCCCAGGGCUCAACCCUGGAAGUGCACUCGAUACUGCUUCGCUUGAGUACUGGAGAGGUUGGUGGAAUUCUCGGUGUAGAGGUGAAAUUCGUAGAUAUCGAGAGGAACAUCUGUGGCGAAGGCGGCCAACUGGACAGAUACUGACGCUGAGACACGAAAGUGCGGGGAGCAAACAGG